This 72-nucleotide transfer RNA is filed under the name Lepocinclis tripteris. Its description in RNAcentral is "tRNA-Arg". It matches the Rfam family "tRNA". Rfam says of the family: Transfer RNA (tRNA) molecules are approximately 80 nucleotides in length. Their secondary structure includes four short double-helical elements and three loops (D, anti-codon, and T loops). Further hydrogen bonds mediate the characteristic L-shaped molecular structure. tRNAs have two regions of fundamental functional importance: the anti-codon, which is responsible for specific mRNA codon recognition, and the 3' end, to which the tRNAs corresponding amino acid is attached (by aminoacyl-tRNA synthetases). tRNAs cope with the degeneracy of the genetic code in two manners: having more than one tRNA (with a specific anti-codon) for a particular amino acid; and 'wobble' base-pairing, i.e. permitting non-standard base-pairing at the 3rd anti-codon position. Lineage: Eukaryota; Euglenozoa; Euglenophyceae; Euglenales; Phacaceae. The record is from RNAcentral.
GUCACAAUCGCCUAAAGGAUGGGCACCGAACUUCUAAUUCGGCAUUUGCUGGUUCGAGUCCAGCUUGUGAUG